GAGAUCACCAUAAUGACUUGCAAGCAACUCACUGUGCUUUGGUAUUAGACUAUCUGGAUUUCUAAUGCAGUAAUGUAAGGCUACUGGGUACAGUCAAGUACUUGCAAAGUCUAUAUGUGGAUCAAGAUGAGAUUGAUCCCUCCAGAUUAUUGGAGUUGAUGUAUCGCUAUAUUUCAAUUUAGCAAAGCUUCGGCCAGGAUAAUCUAUAAGAUGGAUUUGAAAGGUUGAAAUACAAUACGGAUGAAGCAAUCUCGGUUGACAGUUAACCUGAGACCAUCCUAGAGCAUUCAGGGUCAAAAGGAUGAAUUAUGUAGUAACUAUGUGUAUGAGUU
Molecule: long non-coding RNA, 332 nt
Filed under: Elaeis guineensis (African oil palm)
Lineage: Eukaryota; Viridiplantae; Streptophyta; Magnoliopsida; Arecales; Arecaceae
Description: long non-coding RNA (EGUI_LNC067465)
Source: RNAcentral